This 84-nucleotide transfer RNA is filed under the name Didymella pomorum. Its description in RNAcentral is "tRNA-Val". The record is from RNAcentral. Lineage: Eukaryota; Fungi; Ascomycota; Dothideomycetes; Pleosporales; Didymellaceae.
GGUUCGAUGGUGUAGUUGGUUAUCACGUCAGUCUAACAUCAGUUAGGUCACUGAAGGUCUCCAGUUCAAGUCUGGGUCGAAUCA